GACGAACGCUGGCGGCGUGCUUAACACAUGCAAGUCGAACGGAAAGGCCUGCUUUCCCUUGUGGAUUGCGGGUACUCGAGUGGCGAACGGGUGAGUAACACGUGAGUGAUCUGCCCCCAACUUGGGUAUAAGCCUGGGAAACUGGGUCUAAUUCCCGAUAGGACUGCAGGGUGGUGCCUGUGGUGGAAAACGAUUUUCUAGUGGUUGGGGAUGAGCUCGCGGCCUAUCAGCUUGUUGGUGGGGUAAUGGCCUACCAAGGCGGCGACGGGUAGCCGGCCUGGGAGGGUGGACGGCCACAUUGGGACUGAGAUACGGCCCAGACUCCUACGGGAGGCAGCAGUGGGGAAUAUUGCACAAUGGGCGGAAGCCUGAUGCAGCGACGCCGCGUGGGGGAUGACGGCCUUCGGGUUGUAAACUCCUUUCGACCGCGAGGAAGCCACCUGGUUGGAAGGGUGGUGACGGUAGUGUUAGAAGAAGCACCGGCUAACUACGUG
RNAcentral lists this ribosomal RNA (494 nucleotides) under uncultured bacterium. RNAcentral's name for it is "partial 16S ribosomal RNA". It matches the Rfam family "Bacterial small subunit ribosomal RNA", at positions 28 to 507 of the family's 1533-position model. The record is from RNAcentral.